RNAcentral lists this ribosomal RNA (253 nucleotides) under uncultured bacterium. Its description in RNAcentral is "partial 16S ribosomal RNA". It matches the Rfam family "Bacterial small subunit ribosomal RNA", at positions 524 to 776 of the family's 1533-position model. The record is from RNAcentral.
UACAGAGGUCUCAAGCGUUGUUCGGAUUCAUUGGGCGUAAAGGGUGCGUAGGUGGCGCGGUAAGUCGGGUGUGAAAUCUCGGAGCUUAACUCCGAAAUUGCAUUCGAUACUGCCGUGCUCGAGGACUGGAGAGGAGACUGGAAUUCAUGGUGUAGCAGUGAAAUGCGUAGAGAUCAUGAGGAAGACCAGUGGCGAAGGCGGGUCUCUGGGCCGUAACUGACGCUGAGGAGCGAAAGCAUGGGGAGCGAACAGG